RNAcentral lists this ribosomal RNA (1372 nucleotides) under uncultured bacterium. RNAcentral describes it as "bacterial SSU rRNA". It matches the Rfam family "Bacterial small subunit ribosomal RNA", at positions 28 to 1381 of the family's 1533-position model. The record is from RNAcentral.
GAUGAACGCUGGCGGCGUGCCUAAUACAUGCAAGUCGAGCGAACAGACGAGGAGCUCGCUCCUCUGACGUUAGCGGCGGACGGGUGAGUAACACGUGGAUAACCUACCUAUAAGACUGGGAUAACUUCGGGAAACCGGAGCUAAUACCGGAUAACAUGUUGAACCGCAUGGUUCAACAGUGAAAGACGGUCUUGCUGUCACUUAUAGAUGGAUCCGCGCCGCAUUAGCUAGUUGGUAAGGUAACGGCUUACCAAGGCAACGAUGCGUAGCCGACCUGAGAGGGUGAUCGGCCACACUGGAACUGAGACACGGUCCAGACUCCUACGGGAGGCAGCAGUAGGGAAUCUUCCGCAAUGGGCGAAAGCCUGACGGAGCAACGCCGCGUGAGUGAAGAAGGUCUUCGGAUCGUAAAACUCUGUUAUUAGGGAAGAACAAAUGUGUAAGUAACUAUGCACGUCUUGACGGUACCUAAUCAGAAAGCCACGGCUAACUACGUGCCAGCAGCCGCGGUAAUACGUAGGUGGCAAGCGUUAUCCGGAAUUAUUGGGCGUAAAGCGCGCGUAGGCGGUUUUUUAAGUCUGAUGUGAAAGCCCACGGCUCAACCGUGGAGGGUCAUUGGAAACUGGAAAACUUGAGUGCAGAAGAGGAAAGUGGAAUUCCAUGUGUAGCGGUGAAAUGCGCAGAGAUAUGGAGGAACACCAGUGGCGAAGGCGACUUUCUGGUCUGUAACUGACGCUGAUGUGCGAAAGCGUGGGGAUCAAACAGGAUUAGAUACCCUGGUAGUCCACGCCGUAAACGAUGAGUGCUAAGUGUUAGGGGGUUUCCGCCCCUUAGUGCUGCAGCUAACGCAUUAAGCACUCCGCCUGGGGAGUACGACCGCAAGGUUGAAACUCAAAGGAAUUGACAGGGACCCGCACAAGCGGUGGAGCAUGUGGUUUAAUUCGAAGCAACGCGAAGAACCUUACCAAAUCUUGACAUCCUCUGACCCCUCUAGAGAUAGAGUUUUCCCCUUCGGGGGACAGAGUGACAGGUGGUGCAUGGUUGUCGUCAGCUCGUGUCGUGAGAUGUUGGGUUAAGUCCCGCAACGAGCGCAACCCUUAAGCUUAGUUGCCAUCAUUAAGUUGGGCACUCUAAGUUGACUGCCGGUGACAAACCGGAGGAAGGUGGGGAUGACGUCAAAUCAUCAUGCCCCUUAUGAUUUGGGCUACACACGUGCUACAAUGGACAAUACAAAGGGUAGCGAAACCGCGAGGUCAAGCAAAUCCCAUAAAGUUGUUCUCAGUUCGGAUUGUAGUCUGCAACUCGACUACAUGAAGCUGGAAUCGCUAGUAAUCGUAGAUCAGCAUGCUACGGUGAAUACGUUCCCGGGUCU